GGCGAGCAGCGUGAAGACGCUCAUACCCGAAUUCAUCUGCUGGAAGAUGACGAGCGGCGGCAGCCCCAUAUAGACGAUCGUGGCAAAGCUCGCGACGCCGAGGCAGAAGGCGAUUGGCGUGCCUAUCAGCAUAAGCAGGGUGAAGACGCCGAAGAGGAUCCAGGUCGCCACCGCUCAGGCUCCCCCGGCGUCCGCGACGGUCGGCGCGUCGCCUUCGUGGAGGUCCUUGUCGACGUCGA
RNAcentral lists this unclassified non-coding RNA (239 nucleotides) under plant metagenome. RNAcentral's name for it is "partial contains 5.8S ribosomal RNA, internal transcribed spacer 2, and large subunit ribosomal RNA". The record is from RNAcentral.